CACGUAGGGCGCAAGCGUUGUCCGGAAUUAUUGGGCGUAAAGAGCUCGUAGGCGGUCUGUUGCGUCCGCUGUGAAAACCCGAGGCUCAACCUCGGGCCUGCAGUGGGUACGGGCAGACUAGAGUGCGGUAGGGGAGAUUGGAAUUCCUGGUGUAGCGGUGGAAUGCGCAGAUAUCAGGAGGAACACCAAUGGCGAAGGCAGAUCUCUGGGCCGUAACUGACGCUGAGGAGCGAAAGCGUGGGGAGCAAACAGG
This 253-nucleotide ribosomal RNA is filed under the name uncultured bacterium. Its description in RNAcentral is "partial 16S ribosomal RNA". It matches the Rfam family "Bacterial small subunit ribosomal RNA", at positions 524 to 776 of the family's 1533-position model. The record is from RNAcentral.